UUAAACGAAGCAGAGCGUACGGUGGAUGUCUUGGCAUAUAGAGCAGAAGAAGGACGCAGAAAACGGCGAAACGCCUCGGGGAGUCGUACACAGACAACGAUCCGGGGGUAUCCGAAUGGGGAAACCCAGUCAUGCGGAAAUGCGUGGCUAUCCACAACUGAAUACAUAGGUUGCGAGAAGAAAACCCAGGGAAUUGAAACAUCUCAGUACCUGGAGGAGAAGAAAACAAAAGUGAUUCCGAAAGUAGUGGCGAGCGAAAUCGGAAGAGCCCAAACCAGUCUUGAACUGGGGUAGUAGGACCAGAAAAAGCAACAUCUGAGAGAUAGUCGAAUGAGAUUGAAAGCUCAGUCAGAGAAGGUGCAAACCCUGUAGACGAAAUUUCGAAGAGUGCGACUGGAAUCCUGAGUACGUCGGGGCACGUGGAACCCUGACGGAAGCAACCGGGACCAUCCGGUAAGGCUAAAUACUCCUAUAUGACCGAUAGUGAACCAGUACCAUGAGGGAAAGAUGAAAAGAACCGCGGGAGCGGAGUGAAAUAGAACCUGAAACCGUAUGCUUACAAAAAGUCAGAGCACAUUAAAGUGUGAUGGCGUGCCUUUUGUAGAAUGAACCGGCGAGUUAUCUUAUCGUGCGAGGUUAAGUAGACAAUACGGAGCCGAAGCGAAAGCGAAUCUUAAGAGGGUGGCAAGUACGAUGAGAUAGACCCGAAGCCGUAGUGAUCUAGUCAUGAGCAGGUUGAAGGCUGGGUGAAUCCAGCUGGAGGACCGAACCGACCCCCGUUGAAACGUUGGCGGAUGACUUGUGACUAGCGGAGAAAUUCCAAUCGAACACGGCGAUAGCUGGUUCUCCCCGAAAUAGCUUUAGGGCUAGCGUUGAACGAAUCUACCCGGAGGUAGAGCACUGAAAAUAUGCGGGCGGCACCUAGCCGUACCAAAUGUUAUCAAACUCCGAAUGCCGGGCAAGAAUAUUCAGCAGUCAGACUGUGGGUGAUAAGGUCCAUGGUCAAAAGGGAAACAGCCCAGAUCAUCAGAUAAGGUCCCAGAAUCUACGCCAAGUGGAAAAGGAUGUGGAGACGCGCAAACAGCUAGGAGGUUAGCUCAGAAGCAGCUAUCCUUGAAAGAGUGCGUAACAGCUCACUAGUCGAGUAUCUCUGCGCCGAAAAUUAACCGGGGCUAAGCGUAGUACCGAAUCUAUGGAUUUGUGCAGAAAUGUAUAAGUGGUAGGGGAGCGUUCCAAACAGCAUAGAAGGCAUACCGAAAGGAGUGCUGGAGCGUUUGGAAGUGAGAAUGCCGGUGUGAGUAGCGAGAUGCAGGUGAGAAUCCUGCACACCGAUAGACCAAGGUUUCCAGGGGAAGGUUCGUCCGCCCUGGGUAAGUCGGGACCUAAGACGAGGCAGAAAUGCGUAGCCGAUGGACAACUGGUUUAUAUUCCAGUACCCGCGAUACAACUGAAGGAGUGACGGAAAAGGUUACCUCGAGCCCUUAAUGGAUUGGGCAGGACAGAGAGGAGCAGGCAGCAGGCAAAUCCGCUGCAGGAUGCAGAGCUCUGGACCGAAUGAACGAGCGAUCAAGUAGUGAAGAGAGAGAUACCAGUUCCCGAGAAAAGCUUCUAAGGCUAAUUGUAUAGCGGCCCGUACCAAAACCGACACAGGUGGUCAAGGCGAGUAGCCUGAGGUGAGCGAGAGAACUGUUGCCAAGGAACUCGGCAAACUGACCCCGUACGUUAGCAAUAAGGGGUGCUCGAAAGAGCCGCAGUGAAUAGGCCCUAGCAACUGUUUAACUAAAACAUAGCUCUCUGCCAAGCCGCAAGGCGAAGUAUAGGGGGUGACACCUGCCCGGUGCUGGAAGGUCAAGGGGAUUUGUCAGCGCAAGCGAAGCAUUGAACCGAAGCCCCAGUGAACGGCGGCCGUAACUAUAACGGUCCUAAGGUAGCGAAAUUCCUUGUCAGGUAAGUUCUGACCCGCACGAAAGGUGUAAUGAUUUGGGCACUGUCUCGGCAGCAGACUCGGUGAAAUCUUAGUACCUGUGAAGAUGCAGGUUACCCGCAACUAGACGGAAAGACCCCAUGGAGCUUUACUGCAGUCUGCUAUUGAGUUUCGGUUGGAUAUGCACAGGAUAGGUGGGAGACGAUGAGACGUGGAUUUCGGUCUACGAGGAGUCACUGUUGGGAUACCACUCUUAUUCAACUGGAAUUCUAACUGAUAUCCGUGAUCCGGAUACAGGACCGUGGCAGAUGGGCAGUUUGACUGGGGCGG
RNAcentral lists this ribosomal RNA (2254 nucleotides) under human gut metagenome. RNAcentral's name for it is "bacterial LSU rRNA". It matches the Rfam family "Bacterial large subunit ribosomal RNA", at positions 1 to 2282 of the family's 2925-position model. The record is from RNAcentral.